Molecule: long non-coding RNA, 312 nt
Filed under: Populus tremula
Lineage: Eukaryota; Viridiplantae; Streptophyta; Magnoliopsida; Malpighiales; Salicaceae
Description: long non-coding RNA (PTRE_LNC003430)
Source: RNAcentral
AAAUCAAGUGCAGAGAAAGGCAUUUAAAAUCCCCAAACUGUGUUAAUCAAUCUUCCCCAUCAAAAAGCAUCCCCUCCCCAUUACCUCAUCCCCGGAUCUACCACCAUAUCCCGGGUGGAAGCUCUCUGUUUUUUUUUUAACAGUAGCCGGGGGAGAGAGGGAGGAGAACUGGGAAGGAGGAGCCAUGUUGCCCCUUUAAUCUUUCAUCUUUGUCCUGCUUCUGUCUUUAAUUUUUGCUUCUUUGUGCACAAAUGGCGAGAGAAACAGAGAGGGAACACGGAGAAACCGAUAGAUCGACCGAGAGGGAGAGGG